GACGAACGCUGGCGGCGUGCUUAACACAUGCAAGUCGAACGGAAAGGCCCUGCUUUUGUGGGGUGCUCGAGUGGCGAACGGGUGAGUAACACGUGAGUAACCUGCCCUUGACUUUGGGAUAACUUCAGGAAACUGGGGCUAAUACCGGAUAGGAGCUCCUGCUGCAUGGUGGGGGUUGGAAAGUUUCGGCGGUUGGGGAUGGACUCGCGGCUUAUCAGCUUGUUGGUGGGGUAGUGGCUUACCAAGGCUUUGACGGGUAGCCGGCCUGAGAGGGUGACCGGCCACAUUGGGACUGAGAUACGGCCCGGACUCCUACGGGAGGCAGCGGUGGGGACUAUUGCACAAUGGGCGGAGGCCUGAUGCAGCACCGCCGCGUGGGGGAUGACGGCCUUCGGGUUGUAAACCGCUUUCGCCUGUGACGAGGCGUGAGUGACGGUAAUGGGUAAAGAAGCACCGGCUACCUACGU
This 467-nucleotide ribosomal RNA is filed under the name uncultured bacterium. RNAcentral describes it as "partial 16S ribosomal RNA". It matches the Rfam family "Bacterial small subunit ribosomal RNA", at positions 28 to 506 of the family's 1533-position model. The record is from RNAcentral.